Molecule: long non-coding RNA, 99 nt
Organism: Haliotis rufescens (red abalone)
Lineage: Eukaryota; Metazoa; Mollusca; Gastropoda; Lepetellida; Haliotidae
Exons: 3
Source: RefSeq, a predicted model, not a curated record
ACUGGAUGUGUCUACCAGGUGUCUUACCUUCUAACACAGGUACAGCUGACUGGAUGUGUCUACCAGGCACCAGGUGUCUUACCUUCUAACACAGGUGCA